GAUGAACGCUAGCUACAGGCUUAACACAUGCAAGUCGAGGGGUAACGAGAGGAAAGCUUGCUUUCCUUGUCGACGACCGGCGCACGGGUGAGUAACGCGUAUCCAACCUGCCCCCAACUAGGGAAUAACCUUGCGAAAGUAAGACUAAUACCCUAUAAUUUCCUCAGAUGUCAUCUGACGAGGAAUAAAGAUUUAUCGGUGGUGGAUGGGGAUGCGUCUGAUUAGCUUGUUGGCGGGGUAACGGCCCACCAAGGCAACGAUCAGUAGGGGUUCUGAGAGGAAGGUCCCCCACAUUGGAGCUGAGACACGGUCCAAACUCCUACGGGAGGCAGCAGUGAGGAAUAUUGGGCAAUGGGCGGAAGCCUGAACCAGCCAAGUAGCGUGCAGGAUGACGGCCCUAUGGGUUGUAAACUGCUUUUAUACAGGAAUAAAGUUAGCCACGUGUGGUUAUUUGUAGGUACCGUAUGAAUAAGGACCGGCUAAUUCCGUGCCAGCCGCCGCCGUAA
This 506-nucleotide ribosomal RNA is filed under the name uncultured bacterium. Its description in RNAcentral is "partial 16S ribosomal RNA". It matches the Rfam family "Bacterial small subunit ribosomal RNA", at positions 28 to 523 of the family's 1533-position model. The record is from RNAcentral.